This 422-nucleotide ribosomal RNA is filed under the name uncultured bacterium. Its description in RNAcentral is "bacterial SSU rRNA". It matches the Rfam family "Bacterial small subunit ribosomal RNA", at positions 917 to 1362 of the family's 1533-position model. The record is from RNAcentral.
GGGCCCGCACAAGCGGUGGAGUAUGUGGUUUAAUUCGAUGCAACGCGAAGAACCUUACCAGGGUUUGACAUCCUGCGAAUCUCUUGGAAACAGGAGAGUGCCUUCGGGAACGCAGUGACAGGUGGUGCAUGGCUGUCGUCAGCUCGUGUCGUGAGAUGUUGGGUUAAGUCCCGCAACGAGCGCAACCCACGUCUUUAGUUGCCAGCAUUUAGUUGGGCACUCUAGAGAGACUGCCGGUGAUAAACCGGAGGAAGGUGUGGAUGACGUCAAGUCCUCAUGGCCCUUACGGGUUGGGCUACACACGUGCUACAAUGGUGGUGACAAUGGGUUAAUCCCAAAAAGCCAUCUCAGUUCGGAUUGGGGUCUGCAACUCGACCCCAUGAAGUCGGAAUCGCUAGUAAUCGCGUAACAGCAUGACGCGG